Molecule: ribosomal RNA, 305 nt
Filed under: uncultured bacterium
Lineage: Bacteria
Description: bacterial SSU rRNA
Rfam family: Bacterial small subunit ribosomal RNA
Source: RNAcentral
GAGACCUACGGGGCGCAGCAGUAGGGAAUCUUCGGCAAUGGGGGCAACCCUGACCGAGCAACGCCGCGUGAGUGAAGAAGGUUUUCGGAUCGUAAAGCUCUGUUGUAAGAGAAGAACGUGUGUGAGAGUGGAAAGUUCACACAGUGACGGUAACUUACCAGAAAGGGACGGCUAACUACGUGCCAGCAGCCGCGGUAAUACGUAGGUCCCGAGCGUUAUCCGGAUUUAUUGGGCGUAAAGCGAGCGCAGGCGGGUGGAUAAAGCUGAAGGUAAAGGAUGUGGCUUAACCAUAGUAUGCUUUGGAA